Molecule: ribosomal RNA, 490 nt
Filed under: uncultured bacterium
Lineage: Bacteria
Description: partial 16S ribosomal RNA
Rfam family: Bacterial small subunit ribosomal RNA
Source: RNAcentral
AUUGAACGCUGGCGGCAGGCCUAACACAUGCAGGUCGAACGGUAACAGUAAGAAGCUUGCUUCUUUGCUGACGAGUGGCGGACGGGUGAGUAAUGUCUGGGAAACUGCCUGAUGGAGGGGGAUAACUACUGGAAACGGUAGCUAAUACCGCAUAACGUCGCAAGACCAAAAAGGGGGACCUUCGGGCCUCUUGCCAUCGGAUGUGCCCAGAUGGGAUUAGCUAGUAGGUGGGGUAACGGCUCACCUAGGCGACGAUCCCUAGCUGGUCUGAGAGGAUGACCAGCCACACUGGAACUGAGACACGGUCCAGACUCCUACGGGAGGCAGCAGUGGGGAAUAUUGCACAAUGGGCGCAAGCCUGAUGCAGCCAUGCCGCGUGUAUGAAGAAGGCCUUCGGGUUGUAAAGUACUUUCAGCGGGGAGGAAGGGAGUAAAGUUAAUACCUUUGCUCAUUGACGUUACCCGCAGAAGAAGCACCGGCUAACUCCGUG